CCUACGGGUGGCAGCAGUGAGGAAUAUUGGUCAAUGGACGAGAGUCUGAACCAGCCAAGUAGCGUGAAGGAUGACUGCCCUAUGGGUUGUAAACUUCUUUUAUAUGGGAAUAAACUGUUCCACGUGUGGGAUUUUGUAUGUACCAUAUGAAUAAGGAUCGGCUAACUCCGUGCCAGCAGCCGCGGUAAUACGGAGGAUCCGAGCGUUAUCCGGAUUUAUUGGGUUUAAAGGGAGCGUAGGUGGAUUGUUAAGUCAGUUGUGAAAGUUUGCGGCUCAACCGUAAAAUUGCAGUUGAUACUGGCAGUCUGGAGUACAGUAGAGGUGGGCGGAAUUCGUGGUGUAGCGGUGAAAUGCGUAGAGAUCACGAAGAACUCCGAUGGCGAAGGCAGCUCACUGGACUGCAACUGACACUGAGGCUCGAAAGUGUGGGUAUCAAACAGGAUUAGAUACCCGAGUAGUC
Molecule: ribosomal RNA, 460 nt
Filed under: uncultured bacterium
Lineage: Bacteria
Description: partial 16S ribosomal RNA
Rfam family: Bacterial small subunit ribosomal RNA
Source: RNAcentral